CGGACGGGUGAGUAAUGUCUGGGAAACUGCCCGAUGGAGGGGGAUAACUACUGGAAACGGUAGCUAAUACCGCAUAACGUCGCAAGACCAAAGAGGGGGACCUUCGGGCCUCUUGCCAUCGGAUGUGCCCAGAUGGGAUUAGCUAGUAGGUGGGGUAACGGCUCACCUAGGCGACGAUCCCUAGCUGUCUGAGAGGAUGACCAGCCACACUGGAACUGAGACACGGUCCAG
RNAcentral lists this ribosomal RNA (231 nucleotides) under uncultured bacterium. RNAcentral describes it as "partial 16S ribosomal RNA". It matches the Rfam family "Bacterial small subunit ribosomal RNA", at positions 99 to 334 of the family's 1533-position model. The record is from RNAcentral.